GGAGAUGGAAACAGGGAAUUUCCUACUCUCCUCCAUUCCCUGGACUCAUAGCCUUUUAAGACUCCAUCAGCCUCGAAGUUCAUUUGUGUGGCACUAAAAGUAAACCAAAAGCAGGAAGCUAAGGAUCUUUCACCUCUAAUGCACCCUGACCUUGGCUAUUUCAUGUCAGGGUCUGUGCAGUCUAAGCCCAGGCAGCCAACAUGCUUGGAGGAUACUUCAUGUAGUGGUACCUACAGCUCUUUCCAGAAGGCCAUGAAAAUCGAAUUACAUGGUGGGCUUGACUGAGACCAAUGUCUGAGACUUGUCCUUCUGAAGAAGUGGAUGUCUGCUGCCCACUUGUGAGAAUUGCUUGCAGCCAAACAAGUAUGAGCCACAAAGAAGUGCUACACAGCCAAUAUAUCACACCACACAUGAUGACUCACAUGUGAUUUGAACUUGUCUCUAUUUGGUUAAAUCUGGGCUCACGAAUACUUGAGAGACAAGGCCUCACUCUGUUGCCCAGGCUGGAGUGCUGUGAUGCGAUCAUGGCUCACCGCAACCUCAACUUCUUGGGCUCAAGCAAUCCUCCUGCCUAAGCUUCCUGAGAAGUGGGGACCACAGUUCCUUGCUUUGAUGAAGCAAGCUGCCAUGUUGGAGACAAAUGACUGAGGACAAUGUCCGGCCAACAAGCAGAAAGGAAAUGAAUCUACCACCAACUAUGUGGACAUGGAAGUGGAUUCUUUUCCUGUUGAGCCUUCUGAUGACUCCAGCUCAGCCGAUGCCUUGAUGCAGCUAGAAAUAAUGCAGCAGACAGCCAUGGGAGAAGCCUGGAGAGCAGUAAGAGGAAGGAGAACUCAUGACUUAUCCAGGACCCCAGAACUGGAGGAACAGCAGAGCAGCAGGGCAUCUCAGCUCCUCAACCCAACAUAAAAAGGCCACCUAGACUCAGCAUUUCCCCACCCCCAAACCAGCAACAUUUGACAGUUCAAGUAGGAACAUAUUUCCCUGGGCUGACCUGAGAUCUCUGGCACCUCCAGCAAGGGGGAUCAAAAUGGACUCUUGACAAUAGCAAGCAGCCAGGGCACCCACUCUCCUCUACUGGCUCCAAGACUGUCUUUUGCCAGCAGGAGACACUGACACUCUCGGGGAAAACCAGCAAGAGGUACCUUGACAGAAGAGGGACCUGGCCCAGGAAGUCUCUUCCCCAUCCCUGCAGGCCAGAGACUCCCCUGUUCUGUGCAAAACACAAGAUCAACAGCCAGAGGGGCUUGACACAAGCAGUGUGACCAGUGAUGGCUUUGUCUUAAAGAGACAGAGACACUCCCCUUUUCAGCACAGAGACUGGGGGGCUGCCGAGGACAGUUGCAAAAAGGACUCCACCCAAAACUGGAAACAGCCCAUAUGUCCCUCGACAAAUGAAUGGCUAAACAAACUGGUGCAUUCAGACAUAAUAGAAUAGCUGUCCGGGAUCACUCUCUCUGUGUGCUUACAGAGCAGCACAGAAAACUUACAAGUGUUUCUUCUCAUCACUUCCUCCUCCCAUGCUGUUCUUGUCCAGCAUUUUUUUUAACCUUCUGAUGUUGUUACCCACAAAAUUAGUCAUUGCCAAUAGUGCUGAUUUUAUUUAUGAGCAAUAUAUCAAUAAGUUACUGAAAUAUUGACAUAUUUUUGAUUUAAAAUUCUGGAAUAUAGACAAAGAUACGAAAUAUUGUUUAAAUAAUGAAGAUGAAUGAAAAAUACAAUGAGAAAGUUUAUUAUUUUAUUAGAUUCUGGAGAAGAUAAUAAAAGCAAUUGGUAGAGAUGAUAUUUAAAGAUAUAUACAUGAAGAUUUUCCUGAAUAGAUGAAGCUUUCAAAUUCAGGAACGUGUCUCUUUCAUCAGGCUGUUUGAAAAAUGUUUCUUCAUAGUUUUGCAGCUGCCUAAUAAUGUGCUUACUGUAAAAUGAAGGAGAAAGAUGUACCAUGCAAAUGGUUCUGCUUGCUAUUGCUGCAUUAUUUAGGGAUUUAAAGAUUUUGUUGUUGUUAUUUGUUGUUGCUGUUGUUCUGCCGAGAUGCCUUAAAUCUCAGGUAGCAUGGGAAAUUAAACUCUGCCGCUUCGCUAGGUAAUAUAGGAUUUGUCUUGAAAUGAACAUGGAAUCAAAAAGCAAAGUGCUUUUUUCUUCUUCUCUUAGAACUGUUUCCAAUGAUGAAAAUUUUGACCCAUAACAUUCACCUGUUCAUUUUAUUAUCCCACAGAUACAUGUAUUUUUGUGCUGCUAUAUUAAAAAAACACUGCAGCCAUGAUGAAUUCUCCCCUGCCCCCACAUUAUUCUCUCUCUGUCUCUUACACACACACACACACACACACACACACACACACACACACACACACGAUAACUUUGGUUGUCUGCAUUAGUUUCUCCUUAUGUCAAACACCAUUUAUCCAUUUUUUCUUUCUGGAAGGCUUGACUACACUGAUCAUGAAUUAUAUACUUCCUGCAACUAGUAUUGUCUAUGGCAAACUGAUCACCAGUAAUAAUCACUUGGUAUUCUGUAUAUACCACAGCACAGGGAUAAAACACAGCCAAAGAAUUUAUUAGAAACACAAGCAAAUCUGGCAUUAGCUUCCUUCUAAUUGAUGAUAAUUAGACAAACUAUUUUAACAUAAUUAUUCAGGUACAGGUACAAGGCAUGUUGAAACAAGUUACUUGCAUUCUAAGUUUCCAUAUGUGGAAAGCUUUACUGGAGAGCUAUAUAUAUAUAUGUAUGUAUAUAUGGAGAUAGAGUAAGAGAAAGAGAGAGAGAAAGAGAAAGGGGAGGGAGAGGAAAUGUUUCUUGUGCAAUAGUAUCAUAAAUUGAAUACUAAUUUUAGAUCAUUUUGCAUUUGCUCAAUGAGCAACAACUGAGCAUGCCUGGUUUGCAAAUUCAAGAGUAUCUCAGCAGAGAUCAUUUUUCAUUCUUUGUCUCUAAACUGAUUUAAUGCUACCUAAUAAGCACCUGUACUUCCCUUUAGUCAAUCUUUUUGUUCAUUUCUUUAAUGUGGUGAUGUCAAACCUGUACAAACAUAAGUUACACAGUUCAUUUCCCUACUAGACUUGCUCUUCUACCUUCUGUGUAAAGUCAUCAUUUUCAAGAAUGCUAAGCAUGUAAAGUUGGGGACCACCUGUACUUUUGGAGGGUCACUUUGGUAGAACAACACUGGCACCUAGUGGCACGUGUUAUGAAGGGAAAUACCUCCCAAAGACAGGCCAUGCAGGAGUGCAAAUCCCCAUGGAUUUACCAAUUGGUCCUCAAGACUUGGGUUUGCUGGUCCAUAAUAACAUGCAUUUUAAUUGCACAAGUCACAGAGCUCCGGUUCUCAAAAAUAGUGUGAAGAAAAAAAAACACUGUGCUACCUUUUGAGACUACAACUACUAGUUUAUAAUAUUUUGCAGUGUAAUUGAUUAUAGGAAAUAAACUAAUGACUUAAUCAAUGGACAACAUCAUAUUGCCCAAUGUUUUUGAGUAGAUAUUAUAAGAAAAGAAUAAAAAAUCCACAAUCUUUUCAAGUCCUAGAGGAAUUUAGGGCCUAAUCAAGGUGACUAGAUGUUUAUUUUUCAAUUCAUACAUCCCAAAAUAUGUAUGGAUCCAUUCCAUGAGUUCUGUUUGAGGUACUGUGGGUAAAGAAAUAGGGCAAGCUCCCAGUCUUCCAGGGGAGGUCAAUCAACCAGUCAGUUAUCUUAUCUGCCCCAUAGAUGUAAAGGAAUAAAUAUGGGUGAGAAUUAUAGAAACAAAUCUUUUUUUUUUUUUUUUUUUUUUAAUGGAGUCUCGCUCUGUUGCCUAGGCUGGUGUGCAAUGGCGCAAUCUUGGCUCACUGCAACCUCCGCCUCCCAGGUUCAGGCAAUUCUCCUGCCUCAGCCUCCUGAGUAGCUGAGAUUACAGGAGCCCACCUGCAUGCCCGGCUAAUUUUUUGUAUUUUUAGUAGAUACUGUGUUUCAUCAUGUUGGCCAGGCUGGUCUCCAACUCCUGACCUCAGGUGAUCCACCCACCUCAGCCUCCCAAAGUGCUGGGGUUACAGGUGUGAGCCACUGCGCCUGGCAGGAAACAAAUCUUUUACAGUGAAAGAGGAGAAGACUCUUGGCUGAGGAACACAGAAGUUUUCAGAAACCCACACUAACUCAGUUGGGUCUUGAAUGGUGGGCGUAACUGGGCUAUGCAGACAUGAGAAGGAAGGAGGAGGAACAUUUUGAUGGAUGAUGUGCCCUAAUCACGGCUUGAGUCAGGAAACCUUGGGGUGUAUAUAAAAAGGGUCCCAAGUAGUUUUUAUAGAAACAUGAGUCACAGGAAAGGGUUCAGAGGUACCAUGUUGGACAUGCAACUGGAUGGACUGCAGGAAAGGCACUGGCUGGGUGCUUAGGGGAGGGAGAGGUGGCAGCCACCUCAGGGGUGGGCACUUGGGAAUUCUUACAAGUCCUUUGACCUCUCUGUGGCCUUCACCACACUUUUUCUGGCACCCUCAUCCCUCCACUCAUCAGGUCAUGGCUUUCUUCUGUAAGCCAAGGGCAACGUGACCACUUACUUGGAAUUGUUCUGAGUAACAGCAAUUUCAAACAUCUGUCUUGUGAUCAAAUUAUGUAAAUAAAACUCCUGUUAAAAGAAAAA
Molecule: long non-coding RNA, 4597 nt
Filed under: Homo sapiens (human)
Lineage: Eukaryota; Metazoa; Chordata; Mammalia; Primates; Hominidae
Description: PREDICTED lncRNA (TCONS_00236844)
Source: RNAcentral